CUUUUAAAAUUGCAAAUCUUAGUGUUAACUCCACCAUUGACGGUCCUCAGUCCGUAUGAAAAAGGAGGAAGGGCGCUUAAGACGUUUUUCUUUUUUAGUUGAAGUAUUAAGAAUUAAUCGUGUUUCUCUUGGUUUUAAAAUAUUAUAUUGUUCUUUUAAAUUGUUUAUAAAUCUUAAUAUUAUAAUCUACAUUGUGUUUUUUUAUUUUGUAUGAUAUACCAUACUAUUGUCCAACUGUGAAGAAGUAGGUAGGUAGCCAAUUUUAAUAGUGCAGAUCUUCGAAGACCAGAAUGUGUAGAUGUGAAUUGGAAAGUGGCAACAUAUACCUAAUUCAGACUUCAGAGAUUCAGUUAGACAUGAUUUAUGGAAAUUGGAUUCAUUAAUUUUUGGACAUUCAAAAAUAUACCAUACUACUAUAGUACUAUUGUCUGAUUGUGAAAAAGUAAGUAGCCAAUUUUAAUAGUGCAGAUCUUCGAAGACCAGAAUGUGUAGAUGUGAAUUGGAAAGUGGCAACAUAUACCUAGUUCAGACCUUAGAGAUUUAGUUCGACAUUAUUUAUGGAAAUUGGAUUCAUUAAUUUUUGGACAUUAAAGAUAUACCAUACUAUUGUCCAACUGUGAAGAAGUAGGUAGGUAGCCAAUUUUAAUAGUGCAGAUCUUCGAAGACCAGGAUGUGUAUAUGUGAAUUGGAAAGUGGCAACAUAUACCUAGUUCAGAGUUCAGAAAUUUAGUUAGACAUGAGUUAUGGAAAUUGGAUUCAUUAAUUUUUGGUCAUUCAAAGUAGCUUUAGAAACCCUAAUAAAUGUAUUUUCUAUCUAAUAAUUGUAUUAAAUAUAAUUAAAUAAGAUUUUAUA
This is a long non-coding RNA of Acyrthosiphon pisum (pea aphid), 853 nucleotides long. RefSeq lists it as uncharacterized. The record is from RefSeq and is a predicted model, not a curated record. The transcript is spliced from 3 exons. NCBI's taxonomy places the organism in Eukaryota, Metazoa, Arthropoda, Insecta, Hemiptera, Aphididae.